CCGAGUUUACAACUCCCAAACCCCUGUGAACCAUACCCAUAUCGUUGCCUCGGCGGCGCCCCCUCGGGGGACCGCCAGAGGACCCAAACUCUUGCUUUCGUACAAGUUUGUCUGAGUGUUGCUGCAAGCAAAAUAAAUCAAAACUUUCAACAACGGAUCUCUUGGCUCUGGCAUCGAUGAAGAACGCAGCGAAAUGCGAUACGUAAUGUGAAUUGCAGAAUCCAGUGAAUCAUCGAAUCUUUGAACGCACAUUGCGCCCGCCAGUAUUCUGGCGGGCAUGCCUGUCCGAGCGUCAUUUCAACCCUCAAGCCCCUCCGGGUGCUUGGUGUUGGAGACCGGCGAACCCGGCCCCUCCCCGGGGCCCCGGGCGCCGCCUCCCAAAUCCAGUGGCGGUCUCGCCGCAGCCUUCCCUGCGUAGUAGCAUCUUAUUUCGCAUGGGAGAGCGGCGCGGCCACGCCGUUAAACACCCCACUUCUGAACGGUUGACCUCGGAUCAGGUAGGACUACCCGCUGAACUUAAGCAUAUCAAUAAGCGGAGGAGGUUUCCGUAGGUGAACCUGCGGAAGGAUCAUUCAUAAUAAGUGUUCUAUGGCACUUUUUAAAUCCAUAUCCACCUUGUGUGCAAUGUCAGUCGAUCUUCUUCAUGGAGAUCGACCAAACAUCAACCUUUAUCUUUUAACUCUUUGUCUGAAAAAUAUUAUGAAUAAACAAUUCAAAAUA
RNAcentral lists this unclassified non-coding RNA (720 nucleotides) under soil metagenome. Its description in RNAcentral is "partial contains internal transcribed spacer 1, 5.8S ribosomal RNA, and internal transcribed spacer 2". The stretch from base 142 to 295 matches the Rfam family "5.8S ribosomal RNA". The record is from RNAcentral.